UGAGAAUUCUCAGGCGCUUGAGAGAACUCGGGUGAAGGAACUAGGCAACAUGGCACCGUAACUUCGGGAGAAGGUGCACCCUUUUUGGUGGCUCAUGCGAGCUAUAGCUGAAGAGGGUCGCAGAAACCAGGCCGCUGCGACUGUUUAUCAAAAACACAGCACUCUGCAAACACGAAAGUGGACGUAUAGGGUGUGACGCCUGCCCGGUGCUGGAAGGUUAAUUGAUGGGGUCAGCCGCAAGGCGAAGCUCUUGAUCGAAGCCCCAGUAAACGGCGGCCGUAACUAUAACGGUCCUAAGGUAGCGAAAUUCCUUGUCGGGUAAGUUCCGACCUGCACGAAUGGCGUAACGACAGCGGCGCUGUCUCCACCCGAGACUCAGUGAAAUUGAAAUCGCUGUGAAGAUGCAGCGUUCCCGUGGCAAGACGGAAAGACCCCGU
This 437-nucleotide ribosomal RNA is filed under the name Xanthomonas vasicola pv. vasculorum NCPPB 1381. RNAcentral describes it as "bacterial LSU rRNA". It matches the Rfam family "Bacterial large subunit ribosomal RNA", at positions 1673 to 2094 of the family's 2925-position model. Lineage: Bacteria; Pseudomonadati; Pseudomonadota; Gammaproteobacteria; Lysobacterales; Lysobacteraceae. The record is from RNAcentral.